GCUCUUGUCGUUCAAUGGAUAGGACAUAACUUUGCGGAAGUUAAAAUGAUGGUUCGAUUCCAUCCAAGAGCA
This is a non-coding RNA of Parcubacteria bacterium C7867-004, 72 nucleotides long. Lineage: Bacteria; Candidatus Parcubacteria. The record is from Rfam.